UGCGUGUGUGGGGUGGGCGUGAAUUAGUUUGUCCUUGUGUUCGUAAGGGAAGUGUCCUUGUGUGUGUAAUGGAAGUGAUGUAAUUUGCAUUGGGAUGGAGUUGAAUGCUGUUUUGAUUUAUAGAUAUACUCGUUUGUGAGGGGAUGCUCCUCUUUGCGGUGCCCUUUUUGGGAUAUAUGUUCUGCAUCCUUUUCAAGUGAUGCCUAUCAGAUUCAAGUUCUAUAAAUUCUCAAGCAAGGCAUUCAAAGACAAAGUCAUGGAAAAGAACAUGUAUAAGCCUUAAAUUCCGGAAAAUUGAACUGGACCACUUUUGAAUUUACGGUAUCCACAAAUAGGCAGAGACAUUUAAAUCGCAUGGAAGUGAAAUGUAAACAUCAGCACAUGAUUUUUCCGUAUUCAGAUUCUACACUACGAAUUUAAGUGGAGAAGAGAGAGAUUGUGAAGUUUUGUGGUGCACAAAUAAUAAAUGAUUCUAGUGUUUAGGGCUGGGUUGUGUCUGCAGAUGCCUGCAGACCAUAAUACAGAGGUGACAUGAGCACAGCUAUACCUACUAAUUGUGCAUCUGAUUUGCACUGACAAUACCAGAAUUUCUUUCAAAAUACAGUAAAACUCGGUUAUAACAAAGUCACUGGGACCUGUGAAAUUACUUUGCUAUAUCCGUAAUUCGUUUUAUCCUUAUAAGAAAUUCGUUAAAUUUAUAUAGCUGGGGAUCCAAGAAAAAUUCGCAAUAUCCGUGAAUUCGUUCUAUCCGUGUUCGUACUAAACGAGUUUUACUGUACCCCUAACGGAAAAAAAAGUAUAGUAAAAGAAGAAUAUAUGUAAUUUUUAAAAUCUUAAUAAAAUUUUCACAAAAAUCUUCAA
Molecule: long non-coding RNA, 861 nt
Organism: Saccostrea echinata
Lineage: Eukaryota; Metazoa; Mollusca; Bivalvia; Ostreida; Ostreidae
Exons: 3
Source: RefSeq, a predicted model, not a curated record